CAUAAGAGAGAUAGACUGCGUGUGUAGGUUAGCAUAAGUGGCACCCUGUUAGAGAAAGACAGACUCUCUUAUGUCAAUGUGUAAGACAAAGACACCAUACCUUCUAUCAAUGCUUGGUAUAUGGAAAGAAGGUAUGUUGUCUUUCUCUAAUAGGGUGCCACUUUUGCAAACCUACACAUGCAGUCUAUCUCUCUUAUGUCUAUGUCAGAGCCACGCUAAUAAGAUCAAGAUUUAUCUAACCUAAAAAAUUGUUUAGAUCAUAAAUAAUAAAUCAUUCUACUUUCUUAUUCCUUCAAAAUGCAGUAUUCUUCAAUUGCUAUUGUAAUAAUUUAUAUUACCCUAGUGGAAAUAAAAAAUGUAAUAAAGUGUAAUAAAAUAUAAGAAAAUGUAACAAAUUGUUGGAUUUCUGACCUUUUUUACAUUUUAUUACAGUUUGCUACAUUUUAUUACAUUUUGUUACGUUUUAUUACAAUUUAUUACAAAUCCAUUGAUCCAGGAUUUCAUGGGGGUCUCUUCUUUGAAACGACAAAUGUAACAAUACGUAAAAAAGCAUAACAAAAUAUAGAAAAUAUUAGGCGGUAAAAUAACAUAUGUAAUAAAAUGUAAAAAAAAGUUAACAAAUCUGUAAAUGUAAGAAAGUGUACAAAAACGUAUGAGAAAAAAGGUCCGAAAUCCAACAAAAAGGGUAGCUAAGUCUUAUUUUUGUGUAAUAAUGCAUAAUUAUUGCAAAUAAUGAAAAAACAACGACGUAAAGUGAAGGCGGUAAUAUCAGUGAAAUAGCUAUUACUUUUAGAUCCAAUGUUGAAUUAAAUACAAUUUUGUACUAAUUGAGUCAAUAAAAACUCUGUGUUCGGCAAUAACCUACAGAAUAACAAACAAUUAUCAAUUCGAUUUAUGAUGGUUGGAAGAAUAUUGAAGGAAAAUAAUGUAAACUACAACUUAAGGUGGAGGUCACAAUUGGUCAUGGUGGCUCAGACAUCCCCUUAAGUACAGCUAAGAUUGAAAAUAUGAUGUACUAACAAUAGCAUCAAUUACAGUUGCAGGGCCUCAUAGAUAAAGCAAAUGAUUCUUUAUAAUAAUGUAUGCAAAAACAUUCUAAACAUGGUUUAAAAGACUUACUGGAAAUAAAUAUACAGCAUAUUAUGACUAUAAUAGAUCACACUAGCGAUUGGUUUGGUGUUUUUGCUAUGUAAACAUUAUAUCAUCGGUUUAUUUAAGAAAAAAAAUGUGACUGUAACAUCAGUGCAAGUGCAAGUUUAGACAUAUUCUUACAUCACCUUAAAAUCGUUAGGGAUUCUAUAUACCAUAAAUGAUAGACAUAGUCUUAAUGAAUACCAAUUAUUAAAUAAGUAAAAACAAAAGAAAAUGUUGGCAUUUUAAAAAUGUAAAUAAUAAGUUUUACCGAUUUAAGUUUGACAAAUCUAUUGUAUCCAUAUCAAUGACGUGCAUCUGCCUAAAACCCAUCAGGGCUAAAUUUUUCAAGCAUUCACAACCUAAACCCCCAGCUCCAAUUACCAGUAUUUUACAAUCAUGCAUCAAAAACUUUAAUGCCUCA
RNAcentral lists this long non-coding RNA (1555 nucleotides) under Nasonia vitripennis (jewel wasp). RNAcentral describes it as "uncharacterized LOC116417285". The record is from RNAcentral. Lineage: Eukaryota; Metazoa; Arthropoda; Insecta; Hymenoptera; Pteromalidae.